This 697-nucleotide ribosomal RNA is filed under the name Sporothrix africana. RNAcentral's name for it is "eukaryotic LSU rRNA". It matches the Rfam family "Eukaryotic large subunit ribosomal RNA", at positions 148 to 873 of the family's 3401-position model. RNAcentral also lists the same sequence under 1 other name. Lineage: Eukaryota; Fungi; Ascomycota; Sordariomycetes; Ophiostomatales; Ophiostomataceae. The record is from RNAcentral.
AUUUGGAGAGGAUGCUUUUGGCGCGGCGCCGUCCGAGUUCCUUGGAACAGGACGCCACAGAGGGUGAGAGCCCCGUACGGACGGACGCCUAGCCUCUACAAAGCUCCUUCGACGAGUCGAGUAGUUUGGGAAUGCUGCUCUAAAUGGGAGGUAAAUUUCUUCUAAAGCUAAAUACCGGCCAGAGACCGAUAGCGCACAAGUAGAGUGAUCGAAAGAUGAAAAGCACUUUGAAAAGAGGGUUAAAAAGUACGUGAAAUUGUUGAAAGGGAAGCGCCUGUGACCAGACUUGCGCCCCGUGGACCACCCGGCGUUCUCGCCGGUGCACUCCGCGGGGCGCAGGCCAGCAUCGGUUCUCCUAGGGGGACAAAGACCGCGGGAACGUAGCUCCUUCGGGAGUGUUAUAGCCCGCGGUGGCAUGCCCCUGGGGGGACCGAGGACCGCGCUUCGGCAAGGAUGCUGGCGUAAUGGUCACCAGCGACCCGUCUUGAAACACGGACCAAGGAGUCAAGCAUUGGGGCGAGUGUAUGGGUGCCAAACCCGCACGCGAAAUGAAAGUAAACGCAGGUGAGAGCUUCGGCGCAUCAUCGACCGAUCCUGAUGUCUUCGGAUGGAUUUGAGUAAGAGCCUUACCGCUUGGACCCGAAAGAUGGUGAACUAUGCCUGAAUAGGGUGAAGCCAGAGGAAACUCUGGUGGAGG